RNAcentral lists this ribosomal RNA (477 nucleotides) under uncultured bacterium. RNAcentral's name for it is "partial 16S ribosomal RNA". It matches the Rfam family "Bacterial small subunit ribosomal RNA", at positions 29 to 507 of the family's 1533-position model. The record is from RNAcentral.
AUGAACGCUGGCGGCGUGCUUAACACCUGCCAGUCGGACGGGAAACCUUUUAAUGAAGCUUCGGCAGAUUUAGCUGGUUUCUAGUGGCGGACGGGUGAGUAACGCGUGGGUAACCUGCCUUAUACAGGGGGAUAACAGUCAGAAAUGACUGCUAAUACCGCAUAAGCGCACAGGACCGCAUGGUCCGGUGUGAAAAACUCCGGUGGUAUAAGAUGGACCCGCGUUGGAUUAGCUUGUUGGUGGGGUAACGGCUCACCAAGGCGACGAUCCAUAGCCGGCCUGAGAGGGUGAACGGCCACAUUGGGACUGGGACACGGCGCAGACUCCUACGGGAGGCAGCAGUGGGGAAUAUUGCACAAUGGGGGAAACCCUGAUGGCGCGACGCCGCGUGAAGGAAGAAGUAUCUCGGUAUGUAAACUUCUAUCAGCAGGGAAGAUAGUGACGGUACCUGACUAAGAAGCCCCGGCUAACUACGUG